AACGAACGCUGGCGGCAUGCUUAACACAUGCAAGUCGAACGAGACCUCCGGGUUUCGCGGCGCAAGUGUGCGUAAUGCGUGGGAACACGCCCUUAGGUUCGGUAUAACUCCCCGACAGGGGUGCUAAUAACGGCUGGGGUCCUCGGACCAAUGAUUUAUCGCCUUUGGGUGUGUCCGCGUUGGAUUAGCUCGUUGGUAGGGUAAAAGCGUACCAAGGCGACGAUUCAUAGCUGGUCUGAGAGGAUGAUCAGCCACACUGGGACUGAGGCACGGCGGCGGCUCCGACGGUAGGCAGAAGUGGGGAAUAUUGGAGAAUGGACGAAAGCCUGAGCAUGCCGUGCCGCGGGUGUGAUGCAGGCCUUGGGGUUGUAAAGCUCUUUUAGCCGGGAUGAUAAUGACGGUACCGGGAGAAGAAGCACCGGCUAACUCCGUG
Molecule: ribosomal RNA, 433 nt
Filed under: uncultured bacterium
Lineage: Bacteria
Description: partial 16S ribosomal RNA
Rfam family: Bacterial small subunit ribosomal RNA
Source: RNAcentral